CCUACGGGAGGCAGCAGUGGGGAAUAUUGCACAAUGGGCGAAAGCCUGAUGCAGCGACGCCGCGUGAGGGAAGACGGUCUUCGGAUUGUAAACCUCUGUCUUCGGUGACGACCAAAGACGGUAGCCGAGGAGGAAGCCACGGCUAACUACGUGCCAGCAGCCGCGGUAAUACGUAGGUGGCAAGCGUUGUCCGGAAUUACUGGGUGUAAAGGGAGCGCAGGCGGGUAGACAAGUCAGGUGUGAAAAUUAUGGGCUUAACCCAUAACUUGCAUUUGAAACUGUUUAUCUUGAGUGGAGUAGAGGCAGGCGGAAUUCCGAGUGUAGCGGUGAAAUGCGUAGAGAUUCGGAGGAACACCAGUGGCGAAGGCGGCCUGCUGGGCUCUAACUGACGCUGAGGCUCGAAAGUGUGGGUAGCAAACAGGAUUAGAUACCCCGGUAGUC
Molecule: ribosomal RNA, 441 nt
Filed under: uncultured Oscillospiraceae bacterium
Lineage: Bacteria; Bacillati; Bacillota; Clostridia; Eubacteriales; Oscillospiraceae
Description: bacterial SSU rRNA
Rfam family: Bacterial small subunit ribosomal RNA
Source: RNAcentral